GGCAGAGGGAGCCGAGUUCCCGCGGAGGCGCGCACGCGCCCCCGUGAGGAAAGUCCCCCCACCGUUCGGGCAGGCGACCGGGCGCAAGUCCGGAGCGGGAGACCGCUGGCUCUGGAACAGAAACGAGACCCCUCUCCCCGACCGAUGAGGUGUGCGAAUCCCGACCCGAAGCGGCUCGCGCCGCAGCAAGGAACGGAGAGUUGACCCACCGAGGGAUAGCGUCCCGACCUCGUCGGGACGAAAACGAGGCGGUACACACCGCCGAGUGCGUGGCGAAGCCACCCGACGGGAGAGAACGGAUGGAACGGCGAAUCCUCGCCGGUGCAAGUCCACGCCGCGAUGCUCGGCGUCUCGACGUCGAGCGUCGAGGUAGCCCGAACGACGGCGCGGACGCUCAGCCGAAUACUCGGACGAACAGAAGGGGGCUUACUCCCCUCAGCC
RNAcentral lists this RNase P RNA (441 nucleotides) under Halorussus gelatinilyticus. RNAcentral's name for it is "Archaeal RNase P". It matches the Rfam family "Archaeal RNase P". From Rfam's summary of the family: Ribonuclease P (RNase P) is a ubiquitous endoribonuclease, found in archaea, bacteria and eukarya as well as chloroplasts and mitochondria. Its best characterised activity is the generation of mature 5'-ends of tRNAs by cleaving the 5'-leader elements of precursor-tRNAs. Lineage: Archaea; Methanobacteriati; Methanobacteriota; Halobacteria; Halobacteriales; Haladaptataceae. The record is from Rfam by way of RNAcentral.